UCGUAAGAGGGCAAACCACUAGUUUACUAGUGGGGUUGUAGGACUGUAACAUAGACUAAAAAGAGUUAAUAGAAUAAUCUGGAAAGUUUAAGCAUAGAGGGUGAUACUCCCGUAUAUGAAAACUCUUUUUUACUUAACAGUAUCCUGAGUAGGGCGAGGCACGUGAAACCUUGUCUGAAUCUGGGAAGACCACUUUCCAACCCUAAAUACUACUACCAAACCGAUAGCGAACAAGUACCGUGAGGGAAAGGUGAAAAGAACGGGGGUGACCCGAGUGAAAUAGAACCUGAAACCAUUUGCUUACAAUCAUUCAGAGCACGAUUCUUUAUGACGUGUGAUGGACUGCCUUUUGCAUAAUGAGCCUGCGAGUUGUGAUAUCUGGCAAGGUUAAGGAAAUCCGGAGCCGUAGCGAAAGCAAGUCUUAAUAGGGCGUUUAGUCAGAUAUUGCAGACCCGAAACGAAGUGAUCUAUCCAUGAGCAGGUUGAAACCGGUGUAAGAGCCGGCGGAGGACCGAACCCGCUGACGUUGAAAAGUCUUGGGAUGACUUGUGGAUAGGGGUGAAAGGCCAAUCAAACUUCGUGAUAGCUGGUUCUCUCCGAAAUAUAUUUAGGUAUAGCGUUAUGUAGUAAUUAGAGGGGGUAGAGCACUGAAUGGGCUAGGGCAUACACCAAUGUACCAAACCCUAUCAAACUCCGAAUACCUUUAAUGUAAUCAUAGCAGUCAGGCGGCGAGUGAUAAAAUCCGUCGUCAAGAGGGGAACAACCCAGACUACCGACUAAGGUCCCAAAAUCUUAUUUAAGUGGAAAACGAUGUGAAGUUACUUAAACAACCAGGAGGUUGGCUUAGAAGCAGCCAUCCUUUAAAGAAAGCGUAAUAGCUCACUGGUCUAGUGAUUUUGCGCGGAAAAUAUAACGGGGCUAAAAUAAGUACCGAAGUCGUAGACUUAGUUUUACUAAGUGGUAGGAGAGCGUUGUAUUUAGCGUUGAAGAUGUACCGGUAAGGAGCGUUGGAGCAAAUACAAGUGAGCAUGCAGGCAUGAGUAGCGUUAAAUCAGGUGAGAAUCCUGAUCGCCGAAAACCCAAGGUUUCCUACGCGAUGCUCGUCAUCGUAGGGUUAGUCGGGUCCUAAGCAAAGUCCGAAAGGGGUAUGCGAUGGAAAAUUGGUUAAUAUUCCAAUACCAAUUAUUAUGUGCGAUGGAAGGACGCUUAAAGUUAGUGGAGCUAACUGAUGGAAUAGUUAGUCUAAGGUCGUAGGUUGAGUUAUAGGCAAAUCCGUAACUCUUUAUCCGAAAGCUUAAAGGCUUACAAAGCUCUUCGGAGUAGCGUAAGAAUCCAUGAUACUAUAGAGCCAAGAAAAGUUUCUAAGUUUAGUAAUAAUUGCCCGUACCGUAAACCGACACAGGUGGGUGGGAUGAGUAUUCUAAGGCGCGUGGAAGAACUCUCUUUAAGGAACUCUGCAAAAUAGCACCGUAUCUUCGGUAUAAGGUGUGCCUACCAGGGUGCAAGCCCUAGAGGUUACAACAAAGAGUCCCUCCCGACUGUUUACCAAAAACACAGCACUCUGCUAACACGUAAGUGGAUGUAUAGGGUGUGACGCCUGCCCGGUGCUCGAAGGUUAAUUGAUGGAGUUAGCAUUAGCAAAGCUCUUGAUCGAAGCCCGGGUAAACGGCGGCCGUAACUAUAACGGUCCUAAGGUAGCGAAAUUCCUUGUCGGUUAAAUACCGACCUGCAUGAAUGGCGUAACGAGAUGGGAGCUGUCUCAAAGAGGGAUCCAGUGAAAUUGUAGUGGAGGUGAAAAUUCCUCCUACCCGCGGCAAGACGGAAAGACCCCGUGAACCUUUACUAUAGCUUGACACUGCUACUUGGAUAAAGAUGUGCAGGAUAGGUGGGAGAUUAUGAUCUAUAGAUGCUAGUCUAUAAGGAGUCAUCCUUGAGAUACCACUCUUCUUUAUUCGGGUAGCUAACUAGCCUAAGUUAUCCUUAGGUAGGACAAUGUCUGGUGGGUAGUUUGACUGGGGCGGUCGCCUCCCAAAUAAUAACGGAGGCUUACAAAGGUUGGUUCAAAACGGUUGGAAAUCGUUUGUAGAGUAUAAAGGCAAAAACCAGCUUAACUGCGACACCGACAAGUGGAGCAGAGACGAAAGUCGGUCUUAGUGAUCCGGUGGUUCUGUGUGGAAGGGCCAUCGCUCAAAGGAUAAAAGGUACCCCGGGGAUAACAGGCUGAUCUCCCCCAAGAGUUCACAUCGACGGGGAGGUUUGG
Molecule: ribosomal RNA, 2260 nt
Filed under: human gut metagenome
Description: bacterial LSU rRNA
Rfam family: Bacterial large subunit ribosomal RNA
Source: RNAcentral